UAAAAAACGUUGAAAGGGAGAGUAUCUUGAACUUCCUAUCGUGUUAGAGAGGAAAUGCCUCGGCUGUAAGCAUUUCCCACGACUGUUCUGGAGAAAACCACCCUUGAGUGUUGGGCCGAAAUAAGUAAGUUCAGCCGUUUCCCGCGUUAAGGGUAAUCAAGUGAAAGGAAUUAAUCGCCUUUCAAUUGGGUGGAACCACGGGAGUAAGCUCUCGUCCCUAUU
RNAcentral lists this non-coding RNA (222 nucleotides) under Desulfosporosinus orientis. Its description in RNAcentral is "T-box sequence". It matches the Rfam family "T-box leader". Rfam says of the family: Uncharged tRNA acts as the effector for transcription antitermination of genes in the T-box leader family. T-boxes are found upstream of many aminoacyl-tRNA synthetase genes and some amino acid biosynthetic genes usually in Gram-positive bacteria. The record is from RNAcentral. Lineage: Bacteria; Bacillati; Bacillota; Clostridia; Eubacteriales; Desulfitobacteriaceae.